UCAGGUGCAGGAGGAGCCGAUUCCUGUCCCCGACGACAUCGUGGCAGGUAUUAUCUCGAUCAGAGGCACCAGAGCUAGAGCUUUAUUCGACACAGGUGCAUCGCAUUCAUUCAUAGAUGCAUCAUUCGCUAGGACUCAUGGCAUUAAGAUCGUGCACCAUUAUGACUAUUGGACGGUAAAUUCGGUCAAGCAUACUUUUCAUGUUCACGAAGAAUGUGUAGCGUGCCCAGUGCAGAU
Molecule: long non-coding RNA, 237 nt
Filed under: Ananas comosus (pineapple)
Lineage: Eukaryota; Viridiplantae; Streptophyta; Magnoliopsida; Poales; Bromeliaceae
Description: long non-coding RNA (ACOM_LNC026191)
Source: RNAcentral